RNAcentral lists this ribosomal RNA (429 nucleotides) under uncultured marine bacterium. Its description in RNAcentral is "bacterial SSU rRNA". It matches the Rfam family "Bacterial small subunit ribosomal RNA", at positions 360 to 804 of the family's 1533-position model. The record is from RNAcentral.
AAUUUUCCGCAAUGGGCGAAAGCCUGACGGAGCAACGCCGCGUGAGGGAAGAAGGCCUGUGGGUUGUAAACCUCUUUUCUCUGGGAAGAAGAUCUGACGGUACCAGAGGAAUAAGCAUCGGCUAACUCCGUGCCAGCAGCCGCGGUAAGACGGAGGAUGCAAGCGUUAUCCGGAAUUAUUGGGCGUAAAGCGUCCGUAGGCGGUCGUUCAAGUCUGCUGUUAAAGACUACAGCUCAACUGUGGGAUGGCGGUGGAAACUGAGUGACUAGAGUGCGGUAGGGGUAGAGGGAAUUCCCAGUGUAGCGGUGAAAUGCGUAGAUAUUGGGAAGAACACCAGUGGCGAAGGCGCUCUACUGGGCCGCAACUGACGCUGAUGGACGAAAGCUAGGGGAGCGAAUGGGAUUAGAUACCCCAGUAGUCCUAGCUGUA